This 482-nucleotide ribosomal RNA is filed under the name uncultured bacterium. Its description in RNAcentral is "bacterial SSU rRNA". It matches the Rfam family "Bacterial small subunit ribosomal RNA", at positions 29 to 507 of the family's 1533-position model. The record is from RNAcentral.
AUGAACGCUAGCGGCAGGCUUAACACAUGCAAGUCGAGGGGCAUCGAGAGUAGCAAUACUUGUCGGCGACCGGCGCAAGGGUGCGUAACACGUGAGCAACAUACCCUAAUCAGGAGGAUAACCGGAGGAAACUCUGCCUAAUACUCCAUAAUAUCAUCUUAUGGCAUCAUGAAAUGAUAAAAGAUUUAUCGGAUUCGGAUUGGCUCGCGGGACAUUAGCUAGUUGGCGAGGUAACGGCUCACCAAGGCUACGAUGUCUAGGGGUUCUGAGAGGAAGGUCCCCCACACUGGAACUGAGACACGGUCCAGACUCCUACGGGAGGCAGCAGUGAGGAAUAUUGGACAAUGGUCGGAAGACUGAUCCAGCCAUGCCGCGUGAAGGUUACUGUCCUAUGGAUAUUAAACUUCUUUUUUACGGGAGCAAUAAGGUGCACGCGUGCAUCGAUGAGAGUACCGUACGAAUAAGCAUCGGCUAACUCCGUG